CUCUCCAUCAGUUUUAGAAAACCCUAAAUUCCUUGCUCUCUGUCUCUCUUCACGCCUCCAUCAUUGUGGAGACCCCCACAGAGGUGUAGGUGAAGGUCAACAAGUACACUCGUUCUAGUGCACCAACACUUUCAUCCUCACUCCUCAUUUUCGAGCGAGGAUUUGCAGAAGUUGCAGCUGAUAUCGGGUGUGAGAGCAUUUUUGAGCGAGCAACAAGGGCUUAUUAUUAAGUGGAAAAAAAGAGGUUCGGUGAGCCUUAUCGUGCGCUGUUGGAAGCCGUUCGGGCACGGUGACGACUCCGGUAAUGCCGCCGCCACCAAAAGAGAAUGCAAGGACGACCUUCUCUGGUUUCGCGACAUCGAAAAGUUUGCCGCCGACGAUUUCUCCAUGGCUGUCGUCCAGACCAACCAGGUCCUUGAGGACCAAAGCUAGAUCAAGUCCGGCGACUUCGACACCUCGUCGACGUGUACGACGGCCAGGGGAUGGUGGACCCUAAGCAGGUUCCGUUGGACUACGUUCUCUUCCAACCCAACUAGGGGAUGGUGGACCCCUCCAGUAACCUCCACUAUGAUAACAUGCUUUUCGCGCAGAUCGAUGUUGUGUAUUCCGCGUUGGACUCCUUGGGCUACAAGAAGUUGCUGGUUCACAUCUUAGGAACCGGUUGGCCUUCCAAGGGGGAUCUGGACGAAGCUGGUGCAAACCUCGAGAAUGCCAAGAACUAUAAUGGGAAUCUUAUUAAGAUGGCUAUGAGCUACUCUGUCCUAUGUUUUUUGUGCGAUUGCCGCCAAAUCCACCUCUAGCAAUACUCUUCUUCACUCCGUUCCUCUCUUUGUCUCUGUCUCUGUCUCUCUUCAUUUUUUAGUUUUUGUUUCCUUUGUAAUUCAAUUCCGUGAUCUGAAAUUGCAGGAUGAUAAGGUUGUUGCUUUUCAGGACAUUAAUCCAUCAGCUUUCAGGCAUUACUUGGUUGUUCCUGUGGCGCACAUUCCUAUUGUUAAAUAUCUUCAGAGGAAAAUUGACGACUAUUCUUGGGGUAAAGAAACUGAUAGCUGUUGUCACUUCAGAUUAUAAGAUUUAUGUGGGGAAGACGUUAUUAAAUAGAGAUGCUCCUCAGUCCCAGCAGUAUAGGCUAAGCAUGGAUUGAAUACAUGAGCUUAAAGUGCCUUGUACUAGUGAUAAGGGUGUUGGGCAGAGUCAUGUUUGUUUCAUGCAUAUUUGGACUAAUAGGUAUUUUCAUUUAGCUUGAAUAUGAUGGUAUGUAUGAAGUAUUCACUCCAUUUCUUGCUACUUGAUUUGAGAUUGGAUAAUUAGACUAUGGGUGGUAUUAGGUUUGGGGUUAAUGUGUAAAUUAUUUUUUGUUUUUCUAUAUGUGAUUUUUUUGUUAUUGAUCUUUAUUUGAGCAUACUUGUUUGACUUUUUUUUGAAAUUGUAAUAGGUUUGAAUAUUAUUUUCUCAAAUGUCACCGUUUUUCAAUUAUGGGUGCAUGUGUCAUGAGUUUUUUUUUUCUCUUUUAAGUGAGAAGUAUGACUUCAACUUAUGUAUGUAAUUUUGCAAAUAUUUUUUGUUUAUACACUUAGAAGUCAAGUUUUCUAUACUUAACUUCUUAACAUGAAAAAUAAAAUAAUGAAAAAUUACACAUAGAAAUUGAGGUGAUCAAACUUGACUUCUCACCUAAAAAAACUUGUGGCAUAUGCAAAAGAAAAACUCUUAAAAAUUAAUAUUUCUUGAAUAGUGUAUUAUUAAGUCUUAAGUUUUGCAAUAAAUAAAUGCAAAAUAAAAACUCUUAAAAAUGUUUUCUAAAAUUUUUCUUAAUUCUUUCUUCGUUAAAAAAAACUACCUUAUAAAAUUGGGGUGAUUGUGGUGUACUUUUCAUGAUGUUGACCUUGGAAGAAAUUUUCUUGUAAAAGCACUGUAAAUGAGUGAAGAAUUAAAAGUGUUUAUCUAAGACACAUUUGAUUAACUAGGAGGACAUGUGCAAAUGGUGCUAGACAUGGCCAUAGACCUAUAGUGAUGGAAUUGUCUUAGGGUCCAUACAGAUGGACCUGAAGCUACAGUGAGAUCCAAACCAAAUAAUGAUAUUUUGACUUACAUUUUCGUCAAAUUGAAUAUAUUUUCUUUUAUCCUUGACCUUGCUCAAACCUAUAAUUAUUUCCUGACAACAUAAAUAAACAAAGAGAUUCCAAGAUUCAUAUUCACUUCCAUAUUUUCCUCUCACCUUUGUCUUCGAUGUGGCAGCUUUGCAGUGGAAUUGAUGAAAAUGUAAUUGGAGCGUGUGCACAACUUAUGUUUGUAGUAAGAAAGCUUUUUGAAGUAAUGGUUAGUGGGUAUGUACCAAAUUGGGGCCUGUGCUUAUUCAUGCCAUUUAGGCAAGUAGCUUUUGGACACUCCAUAUGGAAUUGAGCACCCAUAUUCAUGAUAAUAUGAGAGUCUAACCUUUGCUGAAUUUUUUAUUUCCUAACAAUCGUUUCUCUUCUAACAUUUUGUGGGCUGCUACAUGCAUUCAUAUAAUUCCAAUCCAUUCCUUUUGAAUCCUUUA
Molecule: long non-coding RNA, 2533 nt
Organism: Glycine soja
Lineage: Eukaryota; Viridiplantae; Streptophyta; Magnoliopsida; Fabales; Fabaceae
Exons: 5
Source: RefSeq, a predicted model, not a curated record